AAGCCAGGGCCACAAAAUGAGACCCAGCUCUCAUUAUAGCACACAAUUUGAACACAAAGGAUUCCUUACCCAGUGACAUCAUCUCCCCAACGUGACUAUUAUUUUCCUUCUCUGAGUUGGUUUGCAAACAGGCUCUGAGCUCACACAUUCUUCUUGGGAGUGAUGUACACUCAAAUCCUCAAAGUCCAUCAUGCCUGUAAGAACAAAAGGCCCCUUUCUUUCUAAUAACUGAGAUUUCUUGCCAGCUCUGCAGCUUAAGAAAGACUUGAACCAUCAAGGGAAAGAAUGGUAAACGGGCCUAUAAACCCCAUACAGGAGGAGAACAGACCGGACAGCCAGGCCGAGGAGCCCGUGGUGUGUGUGUGUUAAAAAACAGAAAAGAAAUAUCCAUGGGAACUUGACUUUAAAAAAAUGUAUUAGAUGCAAUUUGGCUGAAAAGGGACGGCUGCAGGAGCGAGGAAGGCAACAGUGAGUAGAAAACAAAAGCACAGAAACACUUUCUGCUGGACUCCUCUGGGAGGAAGCUUCACGAAAGGAUGAGAUUGCACUGGGAAAGAGAAAGCUGUAUUAAGUGAAAACUCAGUGACUCUACUGGACACUGUGCCCACUGCUCAGCCUAGGGCCGAUUGUGGCACUCUUUGUGGGCGCACGUGGUAUCCAGGCCGCUCUAGCAUCUCAGUAACGGGUGAUGCUCACCCAUCAGCCGCCCCAACCUGGCUGACUGUCCAAACCGCCCUCUGCAUUCGGCACUCAGUGCCUGGCGCUAAGACCUAGGUUCUGGAAAUGACCGAGAAAAUCAGGCGCGAAAGGCCGACCUCCAGCCUCCUCCUUCUGAGUUCCCUCAAGGACUGGCAGCAACCUUUCGGAAUUUGUGCCUUUUGCUGAGACUGCAGAGAACCCCUGUGAAGCCGGAUGCUCCCGCUUCUGUGGGACCACUUCCGGUUAGUCACUUCCGUUGUGGAAGCCUGGUCUCCCCGCUCGAAGGGAACGCUCGGUGCUUGAAAAAGCCACUAGGAUCUCCCAGGCAUCCCAGAGGAAAAGGUCAAGGGCCCUUAAGGGAUGCCUGGCUCCAUAUUAAGUCUCUUUAGUCAUCACAGGGGACCUGUGUAAAUCAUUACUCAAGUCUGAGCACUCCGAUGACUAAGAUACAGCAGGUCAGGUCAGUUCUCCGCAGGCAAAACCACAGCGCCGUCAGGUAGCGCUGACUGUCACACCCCAUGCCUACAUGAGUGAAAUGACAGCCUCCAGUAUGAUGUUGAAUUUUUUUCUUUGUAAGCAUGUCAACACUAGUAAUAGCCGACUCAGUUAACCAUGGCUUAAAAUAACGAGUAUGAAAACAGGCAACAGAAAUUUUUGAAAGGUAUCUGCUUAUACUUAAAAGUUUACUAUACAAAGCUUAAAUGAGUGAACAGUAGAAAAC
This 1420-nucleotide long non-coding RNA is filed under the name Cricetulus griseus (Chinese hamster). RNAcentral describes it as "lncRNA (ENSCGRG00015031264.1)". Lineage: Eukaryota; Metazoa; Chordata; Mammalia; Rodentia; Cricetidae. The record is from RNAcentral.